RNAcentral lists this ribosomal RNA (617 nucleotides) under Streptococcus mutans. RNAcentral's name for it is "bacterial SSU rRNA". It matches the Rfam family "Bacterial small subunit ribosomal RNA", at positions 368 to 976 of the family's 1533-position model. Lineage: Bacteria; Bacillati; Bacillota; Bacilli; Lactobacillales; Streptococcaceae. The record is from RNAcentral.
GCAAUGGACGAAAGUCUGACCGAGCAACGCCGCGUAAGUGAAGAAGGUUUUCGGAUCGUAAAGCUCUGUUGUAAGUCAAGAACGUGUGUGAGAGUGGAAAGUUCACACAGUGACGGUAGCUUACCAGAAAGGGACGGCUAACUACGUGCCAGCAGCCGCGGUAAUACGUAGGUCCCGAGCGUCGUCCGGAUUUAUUGGGCGUAAAGGGAGCGCAGGCGGUCAGGAAAGUCUGGAGUAAAAGGCUAUGGCUCAACCAUAGUGUGCUCUGGAAACUGUCUGACUUGAGUGCAGAAGGGGAGAGUGGAAUUCCAUGUGUAGCGGUGAAAUGCGUAGAUAUAUGGAGGAACACCAGUGGCGAAAGCGGCUCUCUGGUCUGUCACUGACGCUGAGGCUCGAAAGCGUGGGUAGCGAACAGGAUUAGAUACCCUGGUAGUCCACGCCGUAAACGAUGAGUGCUAGGUGUUAGGCCCUUUCCGGGGCUUAGUGCCGGAGCUAACGCAAUAAGCACUCCGCCUGGGGAGUACGACCGCAAGGUUGAAACUCAAAGGAAUUGACGGGGGCCCGCACAAGCGGUGGAGCAUGUGGUUUAAUUCGAAGCAACGCGAAGAACCUUACCA